This 320-nucleotide ribosomal RNA is filed under the name uncultured Actinomycetes bacterium. RNAcentral describes it as "bacterial SSU rRNA". It matches the Rfam family "Bacterial small subunit ribosomal RNA", at positions 28 to 351 of the family's 1533-position model. The record is from RNAcentral. Lineage: Bacteria; Bacillati; Actinomycetota; Actinomycetes.
GACGAACGCUGGCGGCGUGCUUAACACAUGCAAGUCGAGCGGAAAGGCCACUUCGGUGGUACUCGAGCGGCGAACGGGUGAGUAACACGUGAGUAAUCUGCCCCUCACUUUGGGAUAGCCACCGGAAACGGUGAUUAAUACCGGAUAUGACCAUAUGUCGCAUGGCGUGUGGUGGAAAGUUUUUCGGUGAGGGAUGUGCUCGCGGCCUAUCAGCUUGAUGGUGAGGUAAUGGCUCACCAUGGCUUCGACGGGUAGCCGGCCUGAGAGGGUGACCGGUCACACUGGGACUGAGACACGGCCCAGACUCCUACGGGAGGCUG